Molecule: RNA transcript, 974 nt
Organism: Mandrillus leucophaeus (drill)
Lineage: Eukaryota; Metazoa; Chordata; Mammalia; Primates; Cercopithecidae
Gene name: protein Simiate pseudogene
Exons: 1
Source: RefSeq, a predicted model, not a curated record
GUGGCGCCUGAGGUCACCAUGGCUACCAAGCACAAAACCGCAGAGCCAGUGGUACCUUUGUUUGUGGAUCGAUACUUCAUUCACUGGUACAAAGCAGAUGUCAAAGGAAAAUCUUGUGAGGACCACUGUAUACCACAGCACUCUAACCGAAUAUGUGUCACCACAUUGACAGAAUCUCAUCCAGUUCUUCAAAGUGGAAAAACAAUUAAAAGCAUUCCCUGUCAGAUCAGUACCAACUGUAGCAGACUUCAGAACAAGGUCUCUGGGAAAUGUAAGCGGGGGGCACAGUUUCUAACAGAACUUGCACCGCUCUGUAAGAUGUACUGUUCAGAUGGCGAAGCAUAUACUGUAUCUAGUUGUGUUAGAGGAUGUUCGAUGGAAGUGAUUGAACACAUUCUCCAUAAACCAUCUAUUCUUCAAGAAAAGCCAUCCACUGAAGGCUACAUUGCAGUUGAGUUACCCAAAUUUGAAGAAAGUAAAAACAUAACAGAAGGGUUACUGACACAAAAACGGUAUGAAGAAGUCAUGGUGAAAAUGCAUUAAUGCCAUGCAUCAACGUCACAAGGACUGACAUGGAGCAAAAAGCAAAGCGGAAUUCUUGUUACCUGGCCUAAACCAUCAGUGCACGAAAGGAGAACCAGUAUAUGUGAAGCAUACUUCACAGCCAUGUGCCGGGGAGGCCUAAUGUUUCACUUAACUUCGUUUACCCUCUCUGGCUUUCGUAAUGAGCCUUGGUUCCCAUUUGUCUUCAGCCUGCCAGACCUGGCCUGCCCUUGUACUCACCCUGUUCUCUUGCAUCUCUCUAACAACUGGCAUGCAAGGAAUGUUUUUUUCUGAUUAAAAACAAGCAAACAAAGCUCUUUGAAGAAAAUAUAGAAAAUAUAGGAAAGUUUUAAGUAGCCAAGUAAAAAUAAUUUACUCAUUAUCCCAUAAUCCAGCAGUAAAUACAUUUGAUCCUUGAACAACAUGGGUUU